This is a small nuclear RNA of Rattus norvegicus (Norway rat), 158 nucleotides long. Ensembl annotates it as U1 spliceosomal RNA. NCBI's taxonomy places the organism in Eukaryota, Metazoa, Chordata, Mammalia, Rodentia, Muridae. The record is from Ensembl.
AUAAUUAACUGUCAGGGGAAAUACAAUGAUCACAAAUGUGGUUUUCCCACAGUAAAGCUUAUCCAUUGUUCUCCUGGUGUGCUGACCCCUGUGUUUUCCCCAAAUGUGGGGAAAGUGCAUUAUUUGUGCUAGUGGGGGACUACAUUUGUACUCUCCUU